GAGUAACACUUUGAGUAACCUCGCCCUUAACUCUGGGAUAAGCCUGGGAAACUGGGUCUAAUACCGGAUAGGAGCGUCCACCGCAUGGUGGGUGUUGGAAAGAUUUAUCGGUUUUGGAUGGACUCGCGGCCUAUCAGCUUGUUGGUGAGGUAAUGGCUCACCAAGGCGACGACGGGUAGCCGGCCUGAGAGGGUGACCGGCCACACUGGGACUGAGACACGGCCCAGACUCCUACGGGAGGCAGCAGUGGGGAAUAUUGCACAAUGGGCGCAAGCCUGAUGCAGCGACGCCGCGUGAGGGAUGACGGCCUUCGGGUUGUAAACCUCUUUCAAUAGGGAAGAAGCGAAAGUGACGGUACCUGCAGAAGAAGCACCGGCUAACUACGUGCCAGCAGCCGCGGUAAUACGUAGGGUGCGAGCGUUAUCCGGAAUUAUUGGGCGUAAAGAGCUCGUAGGCGGUUUGUCACGUCUGUCAUGAAAGUCCGGGGCUUAACCCCGGAUCUGCGGUGGGUACCGGCAGACUAGAGUGCAGUACGGGAGACUGGAAUUCCUGGUGUAGCGGGUGGAAUGCGCAGAUAUCACGAGGAACACCGAUGGCGAAGGCAGGUCUCUGGGCUGUAACUGACGCUGAGGAGCUAAAGCAUGGGGAGCGAACAGGAUUANAUACCCCUGGUAGUCCAUGCCAUAAACGGUGGGCACUAGCGUGUGGGGACCAUUCCACGGUUUCCCGCGCCGCAUCUAACGCAUUAAGUGCCCCGCCCUGGGGAGUACCGCCGCAAGGCUAAAACUCAAGGAGUGGACGGGGGGCACCGCACAAGCGGCGGAGCAUGCGGAUUGAUUUCGAAUGCAACGCNUAGACCCUUACCAACGGCUUGGACAUGUUCCUCGAACCCCGUAAGAAUACGCAUGCUCGCCCCUUUU
RNAcentral lists this ribosomal RNA (920 nucleotides) under Micrococcus luteus. RNAcentral describes it as "bacterial SSU rRNA". It matches the Rfam family "Bacterial small subunit ribosomal RNA", at positions 108 to 1022 of the family's 1533-position model. Lineage: Bacteria; Bacillati; Actinomycetota; Actinomycetes; Micrococcales; Micrococcaceae. The record is from RNAcentral.